CAAGAUUAUUCUCCCCAUGUCACAGAUAGAUGAAAUUGAGAUUUCCUUCACAGGUUCUGGCCGGCGUCCUCGCUCAGAGGUGCUGGCAGCAGGAGCGGGAAAUUCCUGUGAAACUGUUCGAUCCCUUCCUCCAAGGGGCCUCCUUAACAGCUGUCCUGUCGGCGUCGCCAGCUGCCCAGCCAGUUCCUGUCCCUUUCGGAGCCCGCGCUCGCCCCGCCUGACGCUCCGGGAGUCUGUCCUGCUGGGCCCCAGGCCCACCACAGACGGAAUGGAGUUCUCGGAGCUGAUCCGUACCGGCCGGGCCCAAGCCAAGCUCCUGCGGGGUCCGGAGGCGCCCCCACUGCGUGGCACGCUAUGCGUCACCGGCCACCACCUGCUGCUGUCGCCGGGGCCCCAGGCGACUUCAGACCUGUGGCUGCUGCUGUUGCGUAGGGUAGACUCCAUCGAGAAGCGGGUCUCGGGUGACUCCGGCACCAUCACGUUGCGCUGUAAGGACCUGCGAGUGUUGCAGCUGGACAUAGAGGGCGUGGAAGCCACGCUGGACAUCGCCCGUUCCAUCGAGGCGCUGUCGUCCUUGGAAUCGGUCAUCACUUCCUUUCCGUUCUUCUACCGUCCCAAGGGCUUGAGAUUGGGCGACGCCUGGCACUUCCACCCACCCGAACGCUACUACAAGCGAGUAGCUCGCGAGACCAACGCGUGGCGGCUGAGCGAGGUGAACGGGGACUUCAGCUUGUGCCCCAGUUACCCCCGCGCCGUGAUCGUGCCUCGCGCGGUAGACGACGAUGCCCUGGCGCGCUGCGCCCGCUUCCGCCAGGGAGGCCGCUUCCCUGUGCUCAGCUACCACCACGCUCCCAGCGGAACCGUGCUGCUCCGUUCCAGCCAGCCCCUGACUGGUCCCCAGAAAAGGCGCUGCGCUGAGGACGAGGAGCUGCUGCGAGCUGUGCUGGCGGGGGCUCGCCCUGGGGCCCGGGGCUUCGUCUUGGACACGCGCUCGGCUCAGGCCGCCAAACAGGCCCGCGUGACUGGCGGCGGCACCGAGGCCAAAGCCGCCUACCCGGGCUGGAAACGGCUGCACCGGCCCCUGGAGAGGGGAUGGCCCCUACAGGAGAGUUUCGUGCGCCUGGUGGAGGCCUGUGGAGACCUGGAGCAGAGCAUGGACCGCUGGCUCAGUCAUCUGGAGGCCUGCCACUGGCUGGCGCAUGUGAAGGAGGCACUCAGCACCGCCUGCCUAGCAGCCCAGGGCGUGGGGAGGGAAGGGGCCUGCGUCCUGGUGCAUGGGGCUGAAGGCAUGGACAGCACCCUGCUGGUGACUUCGCUGGCCCAGCUCAUCCUGGACCCCUCGAGCCGGACCAUAGCUGGAUUCCAGGAACUGGUGGAGCGGGAGUGGAUCCAGGCCGGCCACCCCUUCCAGCUGCGCUGUGCCCACUCGGCCUUCUCCCAUGCCCGCCCCAAGCACGAGGCACCCACCUUUCUCCUCUUCCUGGACUGCGUGUGGCAGCUGGGCCGCCAGUUCCCGCUGUCGCUGGAGUUUGGGGAGGGGCUGCUGCUGGCCCUGUUUGAGCACGCCUAUGCCUCCCCUUUUGGCACCUUCCUCUGCAGCAGCGAAAAGGAGAGUGUUCAGUACAGGAUCUGACUGGCAAGAACAUUUGCAGGAAAAAGGAGAGAUUAUCCCUGCCCCCAGGGUGGCUGUCACCCACCUAACCAGGGUUCCCAGUCCAGAAUCCCAGAAGGCAUAGCUUGAGUCUGGAAACUCACUGCCUACAGAUGCCUGUGUGAAGUGAGGACUCGAACUCACUCCUUGUGGUCUGGGCUCAACCAGCCAAAAGAGCAACGGAAACUCCGGAACCCGCUCUACGUCCCCAAUCCCUUGGCCAUCUGGCCUUCUGUGGAGCUCCAGACCCUGCGACUAUGGCAAGGCCUGUUUCUGCGCUGGAUCCGCCCGCCUGAAUCUUCAGAGGUAGCCUGGGAGAAGGUGUGGCAAAUAGUGACAGAUAAGAAGACCGAGGGCUGUGAGCCAACAGUUUCAGCCUCUGAGCCCCAACUUUAAGUGCUGGCUCCUUGGAUAGUGGUUGAGAUGUUCCGGAGACCCCUCCAGGUCCCUCAGCACCUUUGGACCUUGGAUGAGGGCGCCUGCAACCCAGCCUAGUCCAAAACAUACUGAAGCUCCAGGUUUGAAGUGUCUGUGGUGUAGGGAGGUCUAACUAAUAAAGAUCUCCAUGACUGGUAUCA
This is a non-coding RNA of Leptonychotes weddellii (Weddell seal), 2229 nucleotides long. The record is from RefSeq and is a predicted model, not a curated record. Lineage: Eukaryota; Metazoa; Chordata; Mammalia; Carnivora; Phocidae.